GCUUAACCGGAGAAGUGCAUCGGAAACUGGGAGACUUGAGUGCAGAAGAGGACAGUGGAACUCCAUGUGUAGCGGUGGAAUGCGUAGAUAUAUGGAAGAACACCAGUGGCGAAGGCGGCUGUCUAGUCUGUAACUGACGCUGAGGCUCGAAAGCAUGGGUAGCGAACAGGAUAAGAUACCCUGGUAGUCCAUGCCGUAAACGAUGAGUGCUAAGUGUUGGAGGGUUUCCGCCCUUCAGUGCUGCAGCUAACGCAUUAAGCACUCCGCCUGGGGAGUACGACCGCAAGGUUGAAACUCAAAGGAAUUGACGGGGGCCCGCACAAGCGGUGGAGCAUGUGGUUUAAUUCGAAGCUACGCGAAGAACCUUACCAGGUCUUGACAUCUUCUGCCAAUCUUAGAGAUAAGACGUUCCCUUCGGGGACAGAAUGACAGGUGGUGCAUGGUUGUCGUCAGCUCGUGUCGCGAGAUGUUGGGUUAAGUCCCGCAACGAGCGCAACCCUUAUUAUCAGUUGCCAGCAUUCAGUUGGGCACUCUGGUGAGACUGCCGGUGACAAACCGGAGGAAGGUGGGGAUGACGUCAAAUCAUCAUGCCCCUUAUGACCUGGGCUACACACGUGCUACAAUGGACGGUACAACG
RNAcentral lists this ribosomal RNA (637 nucleotides) under uncultured bacterium. RNAcentral's name for it is "bacterial SSU rRNA". It matches the Rfam family "Bacterial small subunit ribosomal RNA", at positions 607 to 1244 of the family's 1533-position model. The record is from RNAcentral.